Molecule: long non-coding RNA, 990 nt
Filed under: Homo sapiens (human)
Lineage: Eukaryota; Metazoa; Chordata; Mammalia; Primates; Hominidae
Description: HSALNT0351958
Source: RNAcentral
ACAUUGGAUGAUCAUUUCUACCUUUUGCAAUAACUACUUCUUAUUUGCAAGUUGUGUUUAAGUGAACAAAGACAAGGACCAGAUUUGCCCAUCUUCUUUCAAGCAGAUGACUGAGUCAAUCCCACAUUACAUAUGAGGAAACUGAGCUACAAACUUUGGACCCUCUUGACAAACGUUUUUGUGUCUUCCAUGAGGAUGAUUACUACUAGCUUGUUGCUGAUGGUAAGCCACAUUUCCUGUCUCCAUAUUGAAGAAAUGAAAUGGCAGCUUGAAGGCAGCAGGACAGAGAUUCGCUGCCAAACAACCAAAUCAGCUGUAACUGCCUGUUGGUAUGGAGGACAGAAGGGCUCCAGGCUGUAUCAUCAUUGAGAUGCAGGAAUUCAAGUGAGUCUUCCGUAUUUGAACUGGCCUGGAGUUGGUGCUUGGGAGUUGAUGGCUACUUCUACAUAUAACUACACAAAGAACUGGCUUAAUAUUAAUGCUCAAGUAAACGAGUCACUAAACAAACAAGAAAAACAAGACCAAACUAUGAAAUCUGUUGUUAAAAGUAUAUUAAAAUUCAGAUUGAAAAUGAUUGAAAUCAAUUAUUAAAUAUGUUUCAAAAAAAGAAAGCAUGCUACAUCCAUUUGGUUUGUUUUCAUAGGUAAUAUCAAACUGCUAAAUAUCACCUUAAUUCAGUCAUUGAUAAAUGUGUGCAAUGAGGUGUAGCCCACAAAGCCUUUAAUCAGUGUGACCAUUCCAAUAUCUCAUGGCCUUUAAUUUUGCUUCUGUUCGGUUAUCAACAUUGGAUGUUAUAACAUCAGGUGGCAUGAUGUGUGACAUUUGUCUGUCAUUCAUUCAUUCCAUUAUUUAUUGAAUGCCUAUUACAGCACAGAAUUUGACAUGGGAGUGGGAGAGUAAUCGUGAACAAUACUAGUAAAAUGCCUGCCCUCAUGAGGAUUAUGUUCCUGUUGUCAUGAAGUUGUCAUCUCCUUCUAGAUGAUAAACAAG